This 332-nucleotide long non-coding RNA is filed under the name Capsella rubella. Its description in RNAcentral is "long non-coding RNA (CRUB_LNC000743)". The record is from RNAcentral. Lineage: Eukaryota; Viridiplantae; Streptophyta; Magnoliopsida; Brassicales; Brassicaceae.
GGCUGAUGUCGCUAUCUUGAGAACGGACUAUUACCAAAAGACAUGUCCUGAUUUCAACAGAAUCGUGCGUGAAGCCGUUACAGCCAAACAACUUCAACAACCAACAACAGCUGCCGGGACACUCCGUCUCUUCUUCCAUGAUUGUUUCCUUGAAGGUUGUGAUGCAUCCGUCUUGAUUGCGACCAACUCGUUUAACAAAGCGGAACGUGAUGAUGAUCUCAACGAUUCCCUCCCCGGAGAUGCUUUUGACAUCGUCGCUCGCAUCAAGACAGCUCUCGAGUUGUCUUGUCCUGGUGUAGUGUCUUGCGCAGAUAUUCUAGCACAGGCCACAC